GCCCCAAUAGUUUAGUGGUAAAACACCUGAUUUGUAAUCAGAUAUCCUCAGUUCGACUCUGAGUGGGGGCU
Molecule: transfer RNA, 71 nt
Filed under: Crassvirales sp.
Lineage: Duplodnaviria; Heunggongvirae; Uroviricota; Caudoviricetes; Crassvirales
Also listed under: 1 other name
Description: tRNA-Thr
Rfam family: tRNA
About the family: Transfer RNA (tRNA) molecules are approximately 80 nucleotides in length.
Source: RNAcentral